CCUUCGGGGUACACGAGCGGCGAACGGGUGAGUAACACGUGGGUGAUCUGCCUCGCACUCUGGGAUAAGCCUGGGAAACUGGGUCUAAUACCGGAUAUGACCUUACAUCGCAUGGUGUUUGGUGGAAAGAUUUAUCGGUGCGAGAUGGGCCCGCGGCCUAUCAGCUUGUUGGUGGGGUAAUGGCUUACCAAGGCGACGACGGGUAGCCGGCCUGAGAGGGCGACCGGCCACACUGGGACUGAGACACGGCCCAGACUCCUACGGGAGGCAGCAGUGGGGAAUAUUGCACAAUGGGCGAAAGCCUGAUGCAGCGACGCCGCGUGAGGGAUGACGGCCUUCGGGUUGUAAACCUCUUUCGACAGGGACGAAGCGCAAGUGACGGUACCUGUAGAAGAAGCACCGGCCAACUACGUG
This 414-nucleotide ribosomal RNA is filed under the name Nocardia cyriacigeorgica. RNAcentral's name for it is "bacterial SSU rRNA". It matches the Rfam family "Bacterial small subunit ribosomal RNA", at positions 77 to 507 of the family's 1533-position model. The record is from RNAcentral. Lineage: Bacteria; Bacillati; Actinomycetota; Actinomycetes; Mycobacteriales; Nocardiaceae.